AGCAGCCGCGGUAAUUCCAGCUCCAAUAGCGUAUAUUAAAGUUGUUGCAGUUAAAAAGCUCGUAGUUGAAUUUCGGGAUCAAUUUAUCGGUCGUGCCAAUGGUAUGAACUGGUACAAUUGGUUUCUCCCUUCUGACGAAGCAUGAUGUUAUUAAUUUGGUGUCGUGGGGAAUCAGGACUGUUACUUUGAAAAAUUAGAGUGUUUAAAGCAAGCAUUAGCUUGAAUACAUUAGCAUGGAAUAAUGAAAUAGGACGUUUGAUCCUAUUUCGUUGGUUUCUAGGAUCGACGUAAUGAUUAAUAGGGAUAGUUGGGGGCAUUAGUGUUCAAUUGUCAGAGGUGAAAUUCUUGGAUUUAUUGAAGACUAACUACUGCGAAAGCAUUUGCCAAGGAUGUUUUCAUUAAUACAAGAACGAAAGUUAGGGGGAUCGAAGACGAUCAGAUACCGUCGUAGUCUUAACCAUAAACUAUAGCCGACUAGGGAUCGGAUGAUGUUAAUUUUUAUGACUCAUUCGGCGCC
RNAcentral lists this ribosomal RNA (517 nucleotides) under uncultured Glomus. Its description in RNAcentral is "SSU rRNA". It matches the Rfam family "Eukaryotic small subunit ribosomal RNA", at positions 569 to 1087 of the family's 1831-position model. Lineage: Eukaryota; Fungi; Glomeromycota; Glomeromycetes; Glomerales; Glomeraceae. The record is from RNAcentral.